RNAcentral lists this ribosomal RNA (219 nucleotides) under Triticum aestivum (bread wheat). RNAcentral's name for it is "partial small subunit ribosomal RNA". The record is from RNAcentral. Lineage: Eukaryota; Viridiplantae; Streptophyta; Magnoliopsida; Poales; Poaceae.
UUGGGUCAUGUUAUAAAUGCUCUGGCUAAACCUAUUGAUGGGAGAGGCGAAAUUGUAGCUUCUGAAUCUCGCUUAAUUGAAUCUCCUGCUCCAAGUAGAAUUUCCAGGCGUUCCGUAUACGAACCUCUUCAAACAGGGCUUACUGCUAUCGAUUCGAUGAUCCCUAUAGGGCGUGGUCAGCGAGAGUUCAUUAUUGGGGACAGACAAAAACAACAGUAG